RNAcentral lists this long non-coding RNA (380 nucleotides) under Castor canadensis (American beaver). RNAcentral describes it as "lncRNA (ENSCCNG00000001000.1)". The record is from RNAcentral. Lineage: Eukaryota; Metazoa; Chordata; Mammalia; Rodentia; Castoridae.
CAAAGUGUCCUUAUCACAAUGGCUUCACCCUGAACACUUGGCUUCCUGUGGAUCCAUUAAAUAACAUUAAUGUUGAUAAGGAUAAGCCUAAUCUUUAUUGUUUUGUACUAGCAAAGAAGUUGGCUAUUUUGCACAGUUUGUUGGCUCAAUAGUUACAUCAGCAAAGUCCAAAGGAAAAGGUUUUCAGCACUGUGGGAAAUAUGAUCUUCAACCAUGCAAGGUAGGUAAAAACUGUUGGUGUUCAAAUCCCAUCACAUUGGUAUGUCUUCUUUUAUAUAACAGUAUUUCCAUGGAAUCCUUCCUUGAUUUAUAAUGUUAUCAUAUGUAAUUAAUCCUUGCAGAGCAUUUAUUUUAGUAUUUCUAAUGGCAGUUAUUUCACU